Molecule: ribosomal RNA, 245 nt
Filed under: uncultured bacterium
Lineage: Bacteria
Description: partial 16S ribosomal RNA
Rfam family: Bacterial small subunit ribosomal RNA
Source: RNAcentral
UACAGAGGGUGCGAGCGUUGUUCGGAAUUAUUGGGCGUAAAGCGCUUGUAGGCGGCCCGGUAAGUCUCGUGUGAAAUCCCUCGGCUCAACCGAGGAAGUGCACGAGAUACUGCCAGGCUGGAGUGCCGGAGAGGGUCGCGGAAUUCCCGGUGUAGAGGUGAAAUUCGUAGAUAUCGGGAGGAACACCAGUGGCGAAGGCGGCGACCUGGACGGACACUGACGCUGAGACGCGAAAGCGUGGGGAG